RNAcentral lists this ribosomal RNA (256 nucleotides) under uncultured bacterium. RNAcentral's name for it is "partial 16S ribosomal RNA". It matches the Rfam family "Bacterial small subunit ribosomal RNA", at positions 524 to 776 of the family's 1533-position model. The record is from RNAcentral.
UACGUAGGGGGGUAAGCGUUUGUCCGGAUUUAUUGGGGCGUAAAGAGCGUGUAGGCGGCCAAGCAGGUCCGCUGUGAAACUCGAGGCUCAACCUCGAGACGUCGGUGGAAACCGUUUGGCUAGAGUCCGGAAGAGGAGAGUGGAAUUCCCGGUGUAGCGGUGAAAUGCGCAGAUAUCGGGAAGAACACCCGUGGCGAAGGCGGCUCUCUGGGACGGUACUGACGCUGAGACGGCGAAAGCGUGGGGAGCGAACAGG